This 589-nucleotide ribosomal RNA is filed under the name uncultured bacterium. Its description in RNAcentral is "bacterial SSU rRNA". It matches the Rfam family "Bacterial small subunit ribosomal RNA", at positions 202 to 812 of the family's 1533-position model. The record is from RNAcentral.
CAAAGGUGAGCCAGUACAGGAUGGACCCGCGUCUGAUUAGCUAGUUGGUAAGGUAACGGCUUACCAAGGCGACGAUCAGUAGCCGACCUGAGAGGGUGAUCGGCCACAUUGGAACUGAGACACGGUCCAAACUCCUACGGGAGGCAGCAGUGGGGAAUAUUGCACAAUGGGCGAAAGCCUGAUGCAGCAACGCCGCGUGAGUGAUGAAGGCCUUCGGGUCGUAAAACUCUGUCCUCAAGGAAGAUAAUGACGGUACUUGAGGAGGAAGCCCCGGCUAACUACGUGCCAGCAGCCGCGGUAAUACGUAGGGGGCUAGCGUUAUCCGGAUUUACUGGGCGUAAAGGGUGCGUAGGCGGUCUUUCAAGUCAGGAGUGAAAGGCUACGGCUCAACCGUAGUAAGCUCUUGAAACUGGGAGACUUGAGUGCAGGAGAGGAGAGUGGAAUUCCUAGUGUAGCGGUGAAAUGCGUAGAUAUUAGGAGGAACACCAGUUGCGAAGGCGGCUCUCUGGACUGUAACUGACGCUGAGGCACGAAAGCGUGGGGAGCAAACAGGAUUAGAUACCCUGGUAGUCCACGCUGUAAACGACGA